Molecule: ribosomal RNA, 519 nt
Filed under: uncultured bacterium
Lineage: Bacteria
Description: partial 16S ribosomal RNA
Rfam family: Bacterial small subunit ribosomal RNA
Source: RNAcentral
GACGAACGCUGGCGGCGUGCCUAAUACAUGCAAGUCGAGCGAGCUUGCCUAGAUGAAUUUGGUGCUUGCACCAGAUGAAACUAGAUACAAGCGAGCGGCGGACGGGUGAGUAACACGUGGGUAACCUGCCCAAGAGACUGGGAUAACACCUGGAUACAGAUGCUAAUACCGGAUAACAACACUAGACGCAUGUCUAGAGUUUAAAAGAUGGUUCUGCUAUCACUCUUGGAUGGACCUGCGGUGCAUUAGCUCGUUGGUAAGGCAACGGCUUACCAAGGCAGGGAUGCAUAGCCGAGUUGAGAGAGAGGUCGGCCACAUGGGGAGAGAGACAGAGCCGAAACACCGGCGGGGGGCAACAGUAGAGAAUCUUCCACGAGGGAGGCGUGUCUGAUAGAGCAACACCGCGGGAGUGAAGAAGGAUUUCGGCUCGUAGAGCUCUGAUGGUAGUAGGGAAAGAUAGAGGUAGUAACUGGGCUUUAUUUGACGGUAAUUGGAGAGAAAGUCACGGCUAACUACGUG